RNAcentral lists this ribosomal RNA (216 nucleotides) under Penicillium soli. RNAcentral describes it as "partial 28S ribosomal RNA". It matches the Rfam family "Eukaryotic large subunit ribosomal RNA", at positions 1 to 215 of the family's 3401-position model. Lineage: Eukaryota; Fungi; Ascomycota; Eurotiomycetes; Eurotiales; Aspergillaceae. The record is from RNAcentral.
UUGACCUCGGAUCAGGUAGGGAUACCCGCUGAACUUAAGCAUAUCAAUAAGCGGAGGAAAAGAAACCAACAGGGAUUGCCUCAGUAACGGCGAGUGAAGCGGCACGAGCUCAAAUUUGAAAGCUGGCUCCUUCGGGGUCCGCAUUGUAAUUUGCAGAGGAUGCUUCGGGAGCGGCCCCCAUCUAAGUGCCCUGGAACGGGCCGUCAUAGAGGGUGA